RNAcentral lists this long non-coding RNA (8924 nucleotides) under Lactuca sativa (garden lettuce). RNAcentral's name for it is "long non-coding RNA (LSAT_LNC008212)". The record is from RNAcentral. Lineage: Eukaryota; Viridiplantae; Streptophyta; Magnoliopsida; Asterales; Asteraceae.
UUACCGCUGGAAUACCAUUGUCGAGACCUUCGAUUCUCGUUUAGGUCAUUCCGGCCAAAAGUCGCUCGAUCUCCGAUUCGAGUUUUUAGCUGUCUGUUGCUAAGCCGAACUUGGAAAAAUCAUAACUUCGCUAUAUGAAGUCGGAUUUGGGCGUUCUUUUCACGUACGAUCAUGGUUCAAAGACAUUUAAUCAUAGAAGGAAAUUAAGUAGAACUUAUUUAUACAUUUUAUUAUGAAAGUAACUUUUUAUUAUUCAGAAGUGGUUACAAUACUUGACCCAUUUUGGUCGUUACAAAGAGUUGAAAUAUCGGGUUGUCACAUCAUCCCCCCGUUAGAGAGAAUUUCGUCCCGAAAUUUAAAGUAGUAAAGAUACUAGUGAACAUGAAAGAGAUGAGGGUACUUUUGUUUCAUCUGAUCUUCGCGUUCCCAUGUGAAUUCGGGUCCCCGCUUGGCGUUCCAGCGAACCUUCACGAUGGGUAUGCGACUUUGUUUUGUUUGUUUGACCUCUCGGUCCAUGAUUUCUACUGGUUCUUCCACAAAGUUGAGGCUCUCGUUGAUCUCGAUCUCGUCGAGUGGAAUAACAAGAGUCUCGUCGGACAGACACUUUUUCAAGUUUGAGACGUGGAAGGUUGGAUGGAUGUUACUAAGUUCGCGCGGUAGGUUAAGCUUGUAAGCCACAGGGCCGAUUCUGGCAAGAAUCUCGAAAGGCCCUAUGUAUCUUGGAUUUAGUUUCCCACGCUUUCCAAAUCGUAUUAAACCCUUCCACGGUGAGACCUUUAAUAAGACGUGGUCUCCUACCUGGAAUUCCAAAGGUUUCCUCCUUUGGUCAGCGUAGCUUUUCUGUCGGUCUCUUGAGGCUUUCAAUCGUUCACGAAUCUGAACGAUCUUCUCUGUUGUUUCACGUAUGAUCUCCGGACCGGUGAGAGUGCUUUCAGGAACUCUUCCUCUAGCUAACUGGGUAUCGCCAACUUCAGUCCAGCACAGAGGGGAUCUGCACUUUCGACCAUAGAGGGCUUCAAACGGAGCAGCCUUUAUGCUUGUAUGAUAACUAUUGUUGUAUGAAAAUUCGACAAGGGGUAAAUGAAUAUCCCAUGCCUUUCCAAAGUCAAUCACGCAGGCUCUCAGCAUGUCUUCUAAAGUUUGUAUUGUUCUCUCACUUUGUCCGUCUGUCUGUGGGUGGUAGGCUGUACUCAUGUCUAGCCUAGUUCCCAGGGAACUUUGUAGUGACUGCCAGAAUCUUGAAGUGAAUCUACUAUCUCGAUCGGAGAUAAUGGAUAUCGGAACACCAUGCAGUCGCACUACUUCCCUUAAGUAAGUUCUUGUAAGCUUCUCCAUUUUGUCAGUCUCCUUGAUGGGUAGGAAAUGUGCGGAUUUGGUCAAUCUGUCGACAAUGACCCAUAUGGUAUCGAGUCCACUUGUCGUCUUGGGUAACUUGGUUAUGAAGUCCAUAGUAAUCCGCUCCCAUUUCCAUUCCGGUAUCUCUGGUUGUUGUAGUAGUCCUGACGGUUUCUGAUACUCGACCUUAACCUUAGCGCAAGUAAGACAUUUACUCACGAAGGUAGCAAUUUCUGCUUUCAUGUUAGGCCACCAGUACAGUUUCUUAAGAUCCAGAUACAUUUUAUCUGAACCCGGGUGAACGGAAUAUCUUGAGUUGUGAGCCUCGGUCAUGACUACGUUUCUGAAACCACCAUGAUUUGGGGUCCAGAUUCGGUCCAUGAGAUAGUAGGCUCCGCCACCCUUGACUUCUAAAUUCUUCUCCAUUCCUCGCAGGGAUUCACCCGCCACAUUUUCAGGUUGCAAAGCUUCCAUUUGUGCUUCCUUAAUUUGUGUGGAUAAGUGGGAAUGGAUAGUCAUGGUCAGAGAUUUGACCCUCCGACCAGUGUAUUCCUUUCGACUGAGGGCGUCGGCUACUACGUUGGCCUUGCCAGGAUGAUAACGAAUUUCGCAUUCGUAGUCAUUCAGUAACUCAACCCAUCGUCGUUGUCGCAUGUUGAGUUCCUUCUGAUCGAAAAUGUGUUGAAGGCUCUUGUGAUCGGUGAAUAUAGUACUCUUUGUUCCGUAUAAGUAGUGCCUCCAGAUCUUCAGAGCAAAUACCACUGCUCCUAACUCGAGGUCGUGUGUCGUAUAGUUCACUUCGUGUGUCUUAAGCUGUCGGGAGGCAUAAGCGAUAACCUUCCCUCUCUGCAUAAGAACACAACCAAGUCCUUGAUUUGAAGCAUCGCAAUACACUACGAAGUCUUCUAUCCCUUCGGGGAGGGAUAGUAUCGGUGCGGUGCACAAGGCCUGCUUUAGUGUCUGGAAUGCCUUCUCUUGUUUCGCUUCCCAGUCAAAGGCCACACCUUUCUGGGUUAAUGAAGUAAGAGGUUUCGCAAUGCUCGAAAAGUUCUUUAUGAAUCUGCGAUAGUAGCCAGCUAGACCUAGAAAUUGACGAAUUUCUGUAGGUGUCUUUGGUGCCGACCAGUUCUCAAUAGCCUUAAUUUUGGAGGGGUCCACGUGUAUACCUUUCUCGCUAACAACGUGACCUAAAAAUUCGACUCUUCGAAUCCAAAAUUCGCAUUUAGAGAACUUCGCAUAGAGUUUCUCCGUUCGCAGUGUUUCUAGGACUUUUCGUAGGUGUUGACUAUGCUCUUCCUCACUUCGAGAGUAGAUAAGUAUAUCAUCGAUAAAGACGAUGACGAACUGAUCCAAGUAAGGGCGGCAUACCCUAUUCAUUAGGUCCAUAAAUACUGCUGGUGCAUUGGUUAAUCCGAACGGCAUCACCACGAAUUCGUAGUGUCCAUAACGAGUUCGGAAGGCUGUCUUUGGAAUGUCCCCCUCUAGAACUCGUAAUUGGUGAUAUCCGGAUCGCAGGUCUAUUUUGGAGAAGUAGUUCGCCCCUUGAAGUUGAUCGAAUAGGUCGUCGAUACGGGGUAGAGGAUAGCGGUUCUUGACAGUAAGUUUGUUCAGCUCUCUGUAGUCGAUGCACAUACGGAACGAUCCGUCUUUCUUCUUUACAAACAAGACCGGUGCUCCCCAAGGUGAGAAACUUGGUCUUAUGAAUCCUUUGUGAAGGAGUUCAUUAAGUUGACUGGAAAGUUCCUGCAUCUCUGCUGGUGCAAGACGAUAAGGCGACUUCGCUACUGGGGUAGCUCCUGGAAUUAAGUCGAUUCUGAACUCGACUUGGCGUUGCGGUGGUAAUCCUGGUAGUUCUUCUGGAAAGAUAUCGGGAAAGUCGCGUACUACCGAGAUGCUCUUGAUGUCCUUCAGUUCUUGACUUGUAUCGACGAUGUGCGCUAGGAAUGCUCGACAAUCCUUCCGCAAGCACUUUCGAGCUUGGAUGCACGAAAUGAUGCGAAGGUUUGCACUAGAUUUGUCGCCGUAGAUAACUAAUGUUUCGUUGUUAGGGAGGUUAAGACGGACUGCUUUCUCAAAGCACAUGAUGUCGGCGCGAAGAAGACUCAACCAAUCCAUGCCGACUAUGACGUCGAAACUUUUAAUUUGAACCGGCAUGAGAUUGAUUGGGAAAGAAUGGCCGUCUAAUGUUAACGUACAGCCCAUGUAUAUGCAAUUUGUGUUUUCGGUUUUUCCAUUGGCCAUCUCUACAGUGAAUGAUUUUUCUAACUUGCUAGGUUUAGGUUUAAGUAAAUGAAUAAAGUUUUGACUCACGAAGCUUCUCUCCGCUCCACUAUCGAAUAAUAUGCAUGCGUAUGAAUUAUCGAGAAGGAACGUACCAGCAACUAUAGUUGGGUCAGCUACAGCUUCGUCGUGGCCUAUUGCCAAAACUCGUCCCACACCUCCGGUGCCUGCUGCCUUAGGACAGUUUCUCUUGUAGUGGCCCACCUCGCCACAACCGUAGCAAGCCUGCCCUACACCCGCACCGGGAACUUGAGUGAUCGGCUUUGCGGGUUCCUUGCAGAAACGGGCUGUGUGUCCUUUCCUGCUGCAGUUGGCGCACUGCAUAUCUCGACAAGGUCCAUGGUGGUGGUAAUUGCAUUUGGUGCAUUUUGGGAGGUUACCUAUAUAAGGCUUUGUUGGGUAGGUAUUUGUAGGGGCUGUAGCAGGUACAAUGGCAGCAUUUACUGACACCAGUUGUUUCUUUGCGGAUUCUUGGGAAGACCCACCCUUCCCUUUAAUCCACGCUCUCUUCCUGCCAUUGUUGUUGUUGUUGUUGUUGUUGUUGUUGUUGUUGUUUCCUUUCUGUGGUGCUGGUGCAGAAGUGGUUGAGUUCUGAUGACCUCCGUAGUCGAUCAGAGAUUGUGCCAGUUCCUUAGCACUUUCAAAGGUGUCAGGUUUAGAAGCUAACACGCUUGAUCGCAUUUGGGGCGUCAGUCCCCAGAUGUACCUUUCUAUCUUCUUGCUCUCGGGAGCAAUCAUAUCUGGACAAAGGAUUGCCAGUUCGCAGAAUCUGUUGGUAUAAGUAGCGAUGUCGGUACCCACCAUUCCGAGAGUCCAUAGCUCGUGUUCAAGCUUUUGAAUUUCUCCCCGUGGGCAGUAUUCUCUCAUCAUCAUGGCCUUCAAGCUCUCCCAGCUUAUGGAGUUUGCCACGAUUAGGGUAAGUACUUUAACGUGGCCAUUCCACCAAGUUAAAGCUUUAUCGAGAAGGGUGAAAGUUGCAAAUUUGACCUUGCUGUGCUCGGGGCAGGAGCAGAUUUCAAAGACUGCCUCCGUCCUUUCAAUCCACUGCCUCAGGGCCAUCACACCACCAGUACCAUAAAACAUCCGGGGCUUGGCAUUAGUGAAGUCCUUAUAGGUGCAUUCUCGAGGUGGUCCAUGACUCUCGCCAUGGUUGGAUAGGUGUGUGCCAGAUCCCGAGCCAUUAGUACUCGAGUUAUUGAUCUGUGACAUGGCAGCUGCCACCGCUGCGGUGACUGCUGCUUGAAACAUUACAGCAUCAAAUUGGGGUGGUGGAGGUGGUGGUGGUAUAGGUGCUUCCUCACCGUUGUUUCGCCUUGGAUUCCUACGCGGAGGCAUCCUUCAACUAUAGAUUGAAAAGACAAGGAUAAGAAUUUCAUAGAAUGGAAAAUGUAUGUGUCUCAUGAACUAAAUCGCUAUAGUUCAACAACAGAUGAUAGUAUGAGUCUUAAAAUAGAAGAAUGAAAGUUAUUUGUAAGACUGAAGGUAUGAAACAAGUAUUUGGGUUCACAAAGACCAUUCAAGGUUCGAACGAAAUACUCAACAUAGUAGUAAUAGUGCCACUUAUAUUAAUAUAAAAGUUGUUACAACGAUCAUGAAAAUUUGACCCCUAUAAGGGUCUCCGAUUACAAAGUUCGAGAAAUUUAAAGACUUUUAGCCGAGGUCCUAAGCUAUAACAAAAUUUGAGUCCUUGACAAGCACUACUUGCGUCGAAGGUUGCGCUUGGAGCUUGACUCCGUAUCUGAUUGCUUUGACUCCAUUAGACGCCUAUCGAAAGCGGCUUGUUGUUCCCUUAGUUCGGCGAGGGCUGCAAUCAUUUGCGCUUGAAACGCUUCGGUUUGGAAUUGAGCGUUGUCUUGCAUCUUGUCCAGCCUACGGAUGUCAGAAGUGUGAACCUGCACUUCCACGUUGAUAUCCCGGAGUCGACUAGCUUGUACUCCAGACUGAUAGGACUGAUUGGCUAACUUACCCACCAUUACCGGGAGUGCUCGAUCAGCCGAACCUCCGCCGCGGACAUCAUAGAAGUCCCGGCACAUGCCGUAGGGAGGGCGUAGGUUUUGCUGUUGGCUCCAAUGGUGGAGGUGACUUCCCCAGACGGGAGUCGGUCCUUGAAAGUUCCUUACGAAGACGGGAGGUUGAAUGGGUGGUGGAUCGAUAACUUCCGGCUCUGAGUCGGUACCGGAGUCAUCACCCACUUCUAUGGGUUCCUCGUCCUCUUCGGGAUCAUCUUCGAUCCAUCCUCCGUUGCCUUGGUUGGGAAAGUAGGGGUCGCCAGGGUGGUGAAAUCCAGCCAUUUGACUGUACGAGAAAUAGGGUUAUAAGAAUUGAAUAAAGUCGGAACAUGUAAAACAUGUAAGUUAAACUAGUUUAGAUAGCAAAUACUCCUAUAGUAUUUAAAUUCUUGUGUUUGAUUCUUGUAAUGGUUUGGUAAGUUUUGACUUGUUGCUUACUACGAUCAUUCCUCGAUAUACGUUGGUCCAAUCUUGGGCAAAUAUAGUUGAUCACGCUAUAUUUGUCCAAAAUCUGAUUACAUAUAUCGAGUCUCAAUCGUAGUGUCAACUUGUCUAAAUACUUGUAUAGUUGUAUAACAUGAAAAUAGUUUGUGGUAUGCAUGUAAUUGUACUUAAAUGAACUAUCAAUUUAAGUUGAACGAAAUGCUGCUUAAGUGUAAAAAGAAAAUUUGUUUUGUCAGAGAGUAUUAGUCCCUUAAGCAUUUAUAGUUUGUAUAUCUUAUGUGGUUCGAUAUACUUAGUUCACUAUAAACAUUGCUCUGAUACCAAUCUGUCACACCCCCAAACCUGAACGGCGGAAACGUUCGGGGGCGGAUGACUUCAUGUGGUAACGUAACAAAUGAAUACAUAGUAAAGAAAGCAAUACAACCAUCAUAUAUAUAAUUGAAAGUUUACAUUUGUCAAAAGUUACAUGUUCAAAACUCAAUUACAAUAUGAUGUCAAAAUACGAGAUUAAACUGGCGCCGCAGCAUCCCUUCAUCAAAAGCGAAAUGAAUACCUGAAAUUACUGAUUUCCUGGGACAUACAAGUAAUUUUGAAAGAGUAGAUCAGCAUUUAAGCUGGUGAAUUUCAUAAGUAUUUAAGUGACAAUGUUUGAAUGAAAUGAAAUGUUUUAUCUUUGUUUGUUUGUGUUUAGAAAAUCCUAUAUUUUCUACUAGUAUAAAAGUAGCCUUCACUCAAGACCAAUGUUUGUUUCCAAAAUGUAUGUAAAUGUAAAAUAACCAAUGAGUUUGAAAACCUUGUAAAUCAAUGCAUUUUUAAUACCCCUUGUGAGUUUUAUAACCAUACUAUUGACUCUGAAUGCCUAUACACAACGUUCUUCAGGCGUUGGAAUGUUAUGACGUUUGUCACCCCAAACGGUGGACUGCAGCUAACAGUCAGGGCGCGGGUUGUCAAGCCCGUAUAGAUCUAUACACAAACACCAUGCUCCCCCUCCAAGGGAUUCUGGUAUAUAAUACAGGACUUGAAAUGUGUACUCGAACGUACAUGAAGUUAGUGUCUCACAAAUCCGUGGUAUAAAAACAGAUCUACUUGUUAAAAUGUUACGUUUGUUCUUGUAUACGAAAGUAAACUUCUUGAAAUAUGUGUUUCUAGUACAUAAGAGUUAGAAAUCUGUUCGUAAAACUAUACCUAUUAUAGUUUCCAAAAAGCGUGUCUUGUUUGUUUAGAAAUAUUGAGAAAAGGAAUCACUUGUUUAUGAAAGUAUAGAUUUUUGGUGUAGAGUCUAGGAUAGACAAGAAAAAUCUAAGAACAGUUUAGUUUAUACAUGCAUUACAACAACAUUAUAUUUUAAAAGGUAAAAUGCUAUUGUGACAUAUGUUAUAUAUAUAUAAAAGUUCCUUUAAAUGUUUAUAAAUCGCAUGUGAUUUGAAUAUAUAACAGUAUAUAAAAGAGUUUCUUUAUGUAACACACGAUAAUACUCGUGUGUUUUACUUGUAAUCCCCCCCUUGAAAGCAUAUAAAAGUAUUUAGAAUAAUUAAAAAGGUUGAUUAAGGGGUAUGAAACUCACUUGAAAGUUUUGGAGAUAGCGAGAUGGAAAACCGGGCAGAGUUUCGUCUCGGGAAACGGAUUUUCCUCGGGAUUCUCGGGAAUCUCGGGAGUAAAAUCGACCUUCGGGACUUGAGCCAAAAAGACCAGAGCUUCGGGUUUGAACGGACACGGAAAACGAGGCAAAGUUGAGAGAGAGAGAAGAGAAAUGAGCCCUUUCUUUGGAAACCCUCGCAUCCUAUUUAUAGUAAGGCUGGUCUGCCUCGGUACGCGGGGCGUACGCUCGUACGCAGCGCGUACGCGUACGUCAUGCAUGACCGAAGCCUCGACUGCCUCGGUUCGGAUGGGACGGGUUGCUGGGUAGGCGGGUCGGAUGGGACGUCGGGUCGGACGGGUCGGGGCUUCGGACGGGUCGGACGGGUCGUUUUCCUUCGGAUAGCGCGACGUGGACGAUCAGAGGCCAAUCCUCUCGGUUACGCGGGGCGUACAGGGGUACGCAGCGCGUACCUCGGAUGAGGACGCUGACUCCCCUUCGGAUAAUAUCCGAAUUUUGAAUAAAAUAAAUAAUUAAUUUAUUUAAUAAACUUCAAAAAUUCAUAUCUUCUUCAUACGAACUCCGUUUUCGAUGAUCUUUAUAUCCUCGCGUAGGUGAGACUACGCUCUACAACUUUCGUUUAGACUCCGUCGGCAAAUUCCAAUUUUUUUAUUUAUUAUUUAUUAAAAACCCAUCGUGUUUAAGGAAUUUCUUUGAAAAUUCAUAACUUCUUUAUCUGAUGUCGGUUUUUGCCAGACUUUUUACUGCUGGAAUACCAUUGUCGAGACCUUCGAUUCUCGUUUAGGUCAUUCCGGCCAAAAGUCGCUCGAUUUCCGAUUCGAGUUUUUAGCUAUCUGUUGCUAAGCCGAACUUGGAAAAAUCAUAACUUCGCUAUAUGAAGUCGGAUUUGGGCGUUCUUUUCACGUACGAUCAUGGUUCAAAGACAUUUAAACAUAGAAAGAAAUUAAAUAGAACUAUUUGUACAUUUUAUUAUGAAAGUAAAUUUUAUUACUCAGAAGUGGUUACAAUACUUGACCCAUUUUGGUCGUUACAAAGAGUUGAAAUAUCGGGUUGUCACAAUGUUUUACUAUAAUAUACUAUUGAAUGUUUGAAAAAUGAUAAUUGGUGUUUCUGGUUAAACUAAAAAUGAAAUUUUUACCUUAUAAUUUUUGGGGCGUUACACGAAUUAUUAGCAAAGUCCUUUUAGGUUGUCCUUAAACUUAGUAAUUGAAUAAGAUGACUUUUAGAGAGAGAGAGAGAGAGAGAGUGUGUGUGUGUGU